RNAcentral lists this ribosomal RNA (119 nucleotides) under Pteropus alecto (black flying fox). The record is from RNAcentral. Lineage: Eukaryota; Metazoa; Chordata; Mammalia; Chiroptera; Pteropodidae.
GUCUAUGGCCAUGCUACCCUGAACAAGCCCGAUCCCUUCUUAUCUCGGAAACUAAGCAGGGUCGGGCCUGGGUAGUGCUUGGAUGGGAGACCACCUAGGAAGACCAGGUGCUGUAGGAG